AAAGUUUUAGCUUAAUUAAAGUGACUGUUUUGCGUACAGAAGAUGUGGGUUAGUGUCCUGCAAGUUUUA
Molecule: transfer RNA, 69 nt
Filed under: Careproctus cypselurus
Lineage: Eukaryota; Metazoa; Chordata; Actinopteri; Perciformes; Liparidae
Description: tRNA-Ala
Rfam family: tRNA
About the family: Transfer RNA (tRNA) molecules are approximately 80 nucleotides in length. Their secondary structure includes four short double-helical elements and three loops (D, anti-codon, and T loops).
Source: RNAcentral